UACAGAGGUCUCAAGCGUUGUUCGGAUUCAUUGGGCGUAAAGGGUGCGUAGGUGGCGCCGUAAGUCAGGUGUGAAAUCUCGGGGCUCAACCCCGAAACUGCACUUGAUACUGCGGUGCUCGAGUACUGGAGAGGAGAUUGGAAUUUACGGUGUAGCAGUGAAAUGCGUAGAUAUCGUAAGGAAGACCAGUGGCGAAGGCGAAUCUCUGGACAGUUACUGACGCUGAGGAGCGAAAGCGUGGGGAGCGAACAGG
This 253-nucleotide ribosomal RNA is filed under the name uncultured bacterium. RNAcentral describes it as "partial 16S ribosomal RNA". It matches the Rfam family "Bacterial small subunit ribosomal RNA", at positions 524 to 776 of the family's 1533-position model. The record is from RNAcentral.